Molecule: long non-coding RNA, 297 nt
Filed under: Panicum hallii
Lineage: Eukaryota; Viridiplantae; Streptophyta; Magnoliopsida; Poales; Poaceae
Description: long non-coding RNA (PHAL_LNC000741)
Source: RNAcentral
CAGACGAAUGAGCACCCCACCCUACGCUCACACUCGCCAUCCAGCUCUCAAGUCUUCACUAUCCUAAUUAGUUCCAGGUCUGUCCACAACUAGGAUAGGUACAGCAGAUGCUAUCAGAAAUUUCGCAAAUAGGUACAGCAGAUGCUAUCAGAAAUUCACAAAUAGGCACAGCAGAUGCUAUCAGAAAUUCGGCAAAUAGGCACAGCAGAUGCUAUCAGAAAUUUGGCAGAGGGGGAUGAUCACAGACGAUUAUCUCAAUCGGCCGUUGGAGAUUAAUGCAGUGCGCAGGUGAGAUUC